Eutrema salsugineum is the source of this 1175-nucleotide long non-coding RNA. RefSeq lists it as uncharacterized. The record is from RefSeq and is a predicted model, not a curated record. Lineage: Eukaryota; Viridiplantae; Streptophyta; Magnoliopsida; Brassicales; Brassicaceae. The transcript has 5 exons.
UUGGGUCUUCUCAGCUUCGCCUCUCUUCCAUGGAAGCCACAAGCAAGGGACUGAGUAUGAGUGUACGACACAGGUCUGUUUCACAUUGAGUAUUGCCAAUGAAUCUAUCAAGCUUGGUUAUACUGAGGAGUUGAUCUGAAGUCCGAGAAGAGUAUCCCUUUGCGCCUCGUCUUUGUAUUAACAGUCUUGCUACGUUCAGCAAAAUACAACUGGUUGAUUCCGAUUCAUUCAACUUUCCAUUGUAAGCAUCUUAGAUGUAAUCUUUUGUUUUUAUCUGUCUUUAGUGGGUUCUAUUUGCAUCACAAAACUUAAUCUUGGUGAGGCAUGAGUCAUAAAGGUAUAAAACAAAAGUAAAAUCAUUUGAAGUUUACCAAUAAUAAUAGUCACACACUACUUUGUCAGUCUCUCUUUUAAUCUUCAGAAGCGGAGCAGUAUGGAGAAGACAAUGGCAAUUGAUGACCAUAUAGGUUGUCCAAUGAGUAUCUGAUUGCUGAUGCACGCACGAGCGAAGACUCAAGUGACAUCUCAGUUUUUGCUUCUCGUGGUUCCUUUCUUACAUCAAUAUGUUACCAACUAUUUUUUGUUUCUCUGUAGCCUAGAACCACAGCUUCUCGUAUGGUGAGCCAAUGAAUGUAGAAUCUACAAGACAAGCUUUGUGUGAUCUGGCGUUAUGGUUUGGUGAAGGACAUGAAGAGUCAAUGCCAGUGAGCCACGAGGAUGGAAUGUCUGUCGAGACGGUUUUUGGGAGAAAAAAGCUCCUUUCAGUAAGGCCUUUCCAAUCACAAAAUUUGUCUUUUUACUGAAACUAAUACUCAGUAUCACUGGUACCGAAGUCUAUUUACGAUUUCGACAUCUAAAGGAAAUGGUAUAGUCUUUUCUUGACCCAAAGACCACAGCUAAGAUUCAGGUUCUUGGCAACCAAUACCAAAGCAAACUGCUAGAAAUCAUUCACGCCAAGUGCUAACUUGAUAACUCUUUACAUGUGACUUUGGAACUGUUGUUUUAUCUUCAGAUAAGCAUCUAAAGACUCUCUCUUCUCAUUGUUUGUUUAGUGAACUGCCUUUGUGGGUGGUACUUGUACCUGCGCAGAUAAAGACGAAUCUAUGCAUUCAGACAAAGGUUCAUGGAACGACCCCGAGAUCUUAAUACAUGGAAGUCGACAACGUUGCAAGUAA